GUCCUAGCCGUAAACGAUGGGCACUAGGUGUGGGGCGUUAUCCAUGCGUUCCGUGCCGUAGCUAACGCAUUAAGUGCCCCGCCUGGGGAGUACGGUCGCAAGGCUAAAACUCAAAGGAAUUGACGGGGGCCCGCACAAGCGGCGGAGCAUGUGGCUUAAUUCGAUGCAACGCGAAGAACCUUACCAGGGCUUGACAUGCAGGGAAAAGCGGCAGAGAUGCCGUGUGCUUCGGCGUCCUGCACAGGUGUUGCAUGGCUGUCGU
RNAcentral lists this ribosomal RNA (262 nucleotides) under uncultured bacterium. Its description in RNAcentral is "partial 16S ribosomal RNA". It matches the Rfam family "Bacterial small subunit ribosomal RNA", at positions 793 to 1055 of the family's 1533-position model. The record is from RNAcentral.